This 125-nucleotide small RNA is filed under the name Marmota monax (woodchuck). Lineage: Eukaryota; Metazoa; Chordata; Mammalia; Rodentia; Sciuridae. The record is from RNAcentral.
GCUGGGCAUGGUGGAGCACACCUGUAAUCCCAGCAGCUCAGGAGGCUGAGGCAGGAGGAUUGCAAGUUCAAAAACAGCCUCAGCAAAAGCGGGGUGCUAAGCAACUCAGUGAGACCCUGUCUCUG